GACGAACGCUGGCGGCGUGCUUAACACAUGCAAGUCGAACGGAAAGGCCCGUCUUUUGUGGGGUGCUCGAGUGGCAAACGGGUGAGUCACACCUUGGUAGCCUGCCCUUGACUUUGGGAUAACUUCAGUAAACUGUGGCUAAUACCGGAUAGGGACGCCUGCUGCUGGGUGGGGGCUGGAAAGUUUCGGCGGUUGGGGAGGGACUCGCGGCUUAUCAGCCUGUUGGUGGGGUAGUGGCUUACCAGGGCUUUGACGGGUAGCAGGCCUGGGAGGGGGACCGGCCACAAUGGGACUGAGAGACGGCCCAGAAUCCUACGGGAGGCAGCAGUGGGGAAUAUUGUACAAUGGGCGGAAGCCUGAUGAAGCAACGCCGCGUGCGGGAUGACGGCCUUCGGGUUGUAAACCGCUUUCGCCUGUGACGAAGCGUGAGUGACGGUAAUGGGUAAAGAAGCACCGGCUAACUACGUG
Molecule: ribosomal RNA, 468 nt
Filed under: uncultured bacterium
Lineage: Bacteria
Description: partial 16S ribosomal RNA
Rfam family: Bacterial small subunit ribosomal RNA
Source: RNAcentral